GGCACCUAUGAAUCCCAUUAGGCAGAAUUUGGAUAUCAGUGGGUCCAAAAAAGGGCCUACCAAGCCUAAUAAGGCUAAAGGCAAGGCUCUGGUCCUCCUAGAGAUCCGCAUGGAGUCGAUAGAUGGUGGUAGAGGCCCUGGGGUCUUCUUUUUCUUAGCCACGACCUCGGGGGAGGAGGGGAGGACCUUGGUCCAACAAGAGGAGGUGGCAUCUAAUCUGGGGCCCCCAACUGAGGUGGAGCUUUCGAAACAGAGGAUUGGGCCUAUGCAUAUGGAUGUGGUGGGAGGAAGCUUGGUCCAAGACCACGAGGAUGCUGUUGUCUGACUAAGACAGGCCAUCUAGGAGGAGGGAGAGAGUCCAUCUGCGAUGGACCUAACAGUAGCUG
RNAcentral lists this long non-coding RNA (386 nucleotides) under Elaeis guineensis (African oil palm). RNAcentral's name for it is "long non-coding RNA (EGUI_LNC023508)". Lineage: Eukaryota; Viridiplantae; Streptophyta; Magnoliopsida; Arecales; Arecaceae. The record is from RNAcentral.